This 98-nucleotide non-coding RNA is filed under the name Candidatus Brocadia. RNAcentral's name for it is "c-di-GMP sequence". It matches the Rfam family "c-di-GMP-I-GGC riboswitch aptamer". RNAcentral also lists the same sequence under 1 other name. Lineage: Bacteria; Pseudomonadati; Planctomycetota; Candidatus Brocadiia; Candidatus Brocadiales; Candidatus Brocadiaceae. The record is from RNAcentral.
UACGACAAAGGCAAACCCUGGGCGAUCAGGGGACGCAAAGUAAAGGGUCUUGUCGAGCCGUUUAAACGGCUUUAUGAAAGAUAGCCUUACUGCCGAAG